GACGAACGCUGGCGGCGUGCUUAACACAUGCAAGUCGAACGGAAAGGCCCUGCUUUUGUGGGGUGCUCGAGUGGCGAACGGGUGAGUAACACGUGAGUAACCUGCCCUUGACUUUGGGAUAACUUCAGGAAACUGGGGCUAAUACCGGAUAGGAGCUCCUGCUGCAGGGUGGGGGUUGGAAAGUUUCGGCGGGUGGGGAUGGACUCGCGGCUUAUCAGCUUGUUGGUGGGGGAGUGGCUUACCAAGGCUUUGACGGGUAGCCGGCCUGAGAGGGUGACCGGCCACAUUGGGACUGAGAGACGGACCAGACUCCUACGGGAGGCAGCAGUGGGGAAUAUUGCACAGUGGGCGGAAGCCUGAUGCAGCAACGCCGCGUGCGGGAUGACGGCCUUCGGGUUGUAAACCGCUUUCGCCUGUGACGAAGCGUGAGUGACGGUAAUGGGUGAAGAAGCACCGGCUAACUACGUG
This 468-nucleotide ribosomal RNA is filed under the name uncultured bacterium. RNAcentral's name for it is "partial 16S ribosomal RNA". It matches the Rfam family "Bacterial small subunit ribosomal RNA", at positions 28 to 507 of the family's 1533-position model. The record is from RNAcentral.